CGUAGGUGGCAAGCGUUGUUCGGAAUUAUUGGGCGUAAAGGGCGCGUAGGCGGUUUGUUAAGUCGGUUGUGAAAGCCCGGGGCUCAACCCCGGAGAGUCGACCGAUACUGGCAGACUAGAGUACAGAAGAGGUAGCUGGAAUUCCUGGUGUAGCGGUGAAAUGCGUAGAUAUCAGGAGGAACACCUGAGGCGAAGGCGGGCUACUGGGCUGAUACUGACGCUGAUGCGCGAAAGCCAGGGGAGCAAACGGGAUUAGAUACCCCGGUAGUCCUGGCCCUAAACGAUGGACACUUGGUGUGUCGGGUAUUCAAGUCCCGGCGUGCCGGAGUUAACGCGUUAAGUGUCCCGCCUGGGGAGUACGGUCGCAAGGCUG
RNAcentral lists this ribosomal RNA (373 nucleotides) under uncultured organism. RNAcentral describes it as "bacterial SSU rRNA". It matches the Rfam family "Bacterial small subunit ribosomal RNA", at positions 526 to 896 of the family's 1533-position model. The record is from RNAcentral.